Molecule: transfer RNA, 71 nt
Filed under: Marmota monax (woodchuck)
Lineage: Eukaryota; Metazoa; Chordata; Mammalia; Rodentia; Sciuridae
Description: tRNA.Ala
Rfam family: tRNA
About the family: Transfer RNA (tRNA) molecules are approximately 80 nucleotides in length. Their secondary structure includes four short double-helical elements and three loops (D, anti-codon, and T loops).
Source: RNAcentral
GGGGUUGUGGCUCAGUGGUAGAGCACUCACCUAGCAUGUGUGAAGCACUGGGUUUAAUCCUCAGCACCACA